Triplophysa dalaica is the source of this 1796-nucleotide long non-coding RNA. RefSeq lists it as uncharacterized. The record is from RefSeq and is a predicted model, not a curated record. NCBI's taxonomy places the organism in Eukaryota, Metazoa, Chordata, Actinopteri, Cypriniformes, Nemacheilidae. The transcript is spliced from 3 exons.
CAUAAAAGGUUUUCUCCAAAGCCUGUAGACAAUGUUAGUUUGAGUGUGCUUAUUUGCUCAGAUUGACUUCGUCUCUGGUUACAGGCCAUCGGUGGGGUCUAUUGAGGACUAUGGUAAUGACACACACAGGGCCUCACCUGAUCCUCCGGCUCAGAACAGCAGCACCUGCUGUGGUUACCUGAGCCAGGCAGUUUAAACUCUGUGGAAUACAGAUGUACUGGAUUCACUAUUAAUGGCUUCUAUGAGGCAGUACCAUGGCAGCAGAAUCAUAUACACAGAUGCAGACCGGAUCCAAACCUGCUUUCCUACCUAAACAAUGGAACAACAAACUCUUACAGCAUUGGGCUAUUCUGCCCACUUCUUCAGAACAAAAAGAGGUCAUGAUGUGAGCGGGGGGCUGGACGUCUGAGAUCUUGCGUCACCGGAGUUUCAGGCAGACGAGAACAUUCUGUACUCAGGUCAGAAUUAAGGCCAUCGACGUGCCCGAACAGGAACCCUGGUCUUAUGUAACGCUUUUGACGUGAAAGGACGGUUGGGAAAGUCAAAACAACCUGAGUUACAUAACCCAAAUGUAUGUACCACUGUAAUUUACAGUAUGUUUGAUAAUUGCGUCCUGCACAUAUUCUUGUUCAGCUGGAAUGCGUGUACACUGCUCAUUGUGUUCGGCUUUUUAAAAAUAGUUAAGGCUGACACCCUCUCACACCCUCUGAUUAAGGUGCUGAACACGAACUUUUGAACAAACUCAAGUUUUCUACAUUUUCCAGCUAGAGUCUGUUAUCAGCAUGACUCGUCUCUGAUUCAUACCUCUCAUCUGGUCUCGCUUCAUCUCAUGUCUUUAUCGUUUCAGCGGUGUGUGUGGUCUGCAUACCAGACUGGGCCGUGUUGGGGGAGCUGUGCGGGAUGAACCAUUCACACAAAAGCUCAUUUACCAGAAGCAGUGUUUUCACAUUCCUGAGCUGUGAGGUCAUCUCCCCCCCGUAGCCCACAGGAUAAUGUCUGUUUUCAGAGAGGCCCAACUAUUCAUAUGGUACCAAUGACAAUGCGUACUUUUGAGCCUUUGAGCUUUGUUACAAACAAAAACAAGCAAAAUCUAUUCCCCAAAUACUACAAUACAAUGCAAUACUUACAACACUGGUGCAAUGUAACAAACAUUUUUAGGGCUUGAUGUGAAUAAAAGGGGCCCAGCUCAGUUUCACAGAUGUUUUUGUAUUCUACAUCGAUAGUGAGGCUACCUCAGAGAGACAACAGAAAUGUCAGACAUCAAAGAAACAAGAAACUGAAUACCAGGAUGAUAACAAAGCUCUCUUUGAGGGCAUAGUAUCAAAAUAAGCAAGGCCGAAACUUGUUCAUUAUAUACGGAAUAGUUUCAUGAUUAGAUAGAACGGUGUGUUCUAAAACUUCACAUUGUUGUUCUGAACCAGAACAUUUUGUAAUUUGAGAGAGAGAAUACAUAUGCAUUACAUUUUCAUACAGUUUAAGGAAAAUUUUAAACCUUGGGGGUGUGUUCCAGAAUUCUUCUCUUUUCUGUAUUGAAACAAUGAGACCACACGUCUAUCAUGACUCAACUUAAGCGUGGGAGGAUAAAAUACCUUCCUUCUUCGGUAAUCAAGGCGACAAUCUAAAAAUGUUAAACUCAAGCUGUUUCCUUAAACCAAAUUCUUUGUCAUGAAUAAACCAGGAAGUUUUAACGUUUGCAGAGUAUUCGUGUUUUUGUUACUCUGCCAAUAUUUGUGGGUCUGUUGGAAUAGUAUUCAUUUCAAAUCAAUAACAUUUAUGUAAAAGUACUGACACCUUUA